RNAcentral lists this ribosomal RNA (543 nucleotides) under uncultured fungus from ectomycorrhizal root. RNAcentral's name for it is "eukaryotic LSU rRNA". The stretch from base 173 to 326 matches the Rfam family "5.8S ribosomal RNA". The record is from RNAcentral. Lineage: Eukaryota; Fungi.
UCAUUAAUGAUUGCGAAUGGUUGCCUUCGGUGCUGGCUCUUGCAAGUGCACGUUGGUGGCUUUCAUCCAAUACCCCUGUGAACCUUUGGCCUCUUGCUAGCUUCGGCUGGCAGAGGAUUUUUACACACUCGAAUGUAAUGAAAACUAUUGUCGUGCGCAAGCACUAAUGUACAACUUUCAACAACGGAUCUCUUGGCUCUCGCAUCGAUGAAGAACGCAGCGAAAUGCGAUAAGUAAUGUGAAUUGCAGAAUUCAGUGAAUCAUCGAAUCUUUGAACGCACCUUGCACCCUUUGGUAUUCCGAAGGGUAUGCUCGUUUGAGUGUCAUUGUACUCUCACACUCUCUGGUCCUUUGGAUUCAGGGAGCGGUGGACUUGGGUGUUUGCUGCUUUCCUGGUGGCUCACCUCAAAUGCGUUAGUGCACCUCUUGGUUGGACAUAGUACGGCGUGAUAAGUAUCUUCGCCGGCACCUCGCAAGAGGGUGGCCGAUUGGGAGCUCUGUGCUUUCAAACCGUCUUCGGACAAUCUUUGACAACUUGACCUC